This is a non-coding RNA of Musa acuminata subsp. malaccensis (wild Malaysian banana), 3024 nucleotides long. The record is from RefSeq and is a predicted model, not a curated record. Lineage: Eukaryota; Viridiplantae; Streptophyta; Magnoliopsida; Zingiberales; Musaceae.
CUAGCGUUUUCGCUGAAGCAAAAAAAAACCCUAGAAUUGGAGGUGGGUCGGGAGACGAGAAUGGAGGCGGUAAAGCGCGGCCGGUGGAUGGAUCGCCUUCGAUUUUUGAUAUGGAUCGUCUCUUUACUCCUCAUCUCUUGUUUCUCUCUCUCACAGUGUGACCGCGGUGUCGUCCGGGGGUCACCCGGGUUGACAGAAGAGAGUGAGCACACAGCGGCGACCGCACCGCCUCGAUGCCGUCGCUGCUGCGUGCUCACUACUCUCUCUGUCAUCUCCACCUCCCCGGCGGUGCGCGGUGGGUGAGUUGGGCAGAUGUAGAUGCUACUCUCCCCUUCGGUUUACUCCCGACUGCGGCUGGGCAAAACCCAACGGGCGAUAGGAAAGAGGCGAGGGUGAGGAUGCUUUCCAUGUAUGGAUUAUUGCAUCGAUGGAGGGGCGGACACGCGUGCGCUGCUCUCUCUCUUACUCAUCUCGUGUCGGCCAUCUGCUCCGCCGAGACGUCUCGUCCCUUAUGGGUUUGUUUCGAGGUGCGGAGAUGUAGCAGCGUAGGGUCUAUCAUUUCAUGGCAGUAGUUUGUUCCGCUCUCCUCCCGAUUUCAACUUUGAUGCGCCGAAAAAAUUGGAGUGGCAACUCGACGAAUCGAGAGGGUGAAGAAAUCAGAUAACAAAAGAAAAUAAAAGAGAAGGGGGGUUAGGGAAAUAACAGGAUAACUACUGCGUGACUUUUGAGGCGCAGUUGUUCAUCCGGCAGCGAGAUAGGAUGAGGGCAGGGUUACACGUCUUGUUCCUGUCUGUAUCUUCCUCUUCCUCUUGUGCUGCUGGACGGUCUUCUUCUUCUUCUUCGAUCCGUCCUCUCCUCCUCCUCCUCCUCCUCACUUUUUUCUUAUUGUUUGCUCUCCAUAUCGUCAAGGAGCUGAUCUUGGAUGAUGUUUCUUGGAUGAGAAAUCGCUUCCUUUCGCCAUUAUUCGUUGCUUCGCGCAUGCUAUCGGAUUUGUUGGAUCGGUAAUUCGGACUUCGUUCUGUGUUCGCCGUUGUUAAUCAUUUCUUAGAGGUAAAACACGCUCAGGUUCUCGACAAGGAGGCUUUUAUUCCCUGUCACCGAUGGUUACUGGCAUUUGAGUAAUUUAUGCUCUUUCCCGAUUAAGCAGUGCAUGUAUGGACAUUGUGUGUCGAUUGAUUGAUGUAUGUUAGACAUUUAAAUUCACGACUUCUGUAAUAGCGGUGUAAAACGUUCUUGUUAUGAGAUUGAUUGCAUAUGAUUUAAGAAGAAAGAUCUUGGACUUGCGUUUUCUUUCGUAUGAGUUCUAAUAAGCACCGAGGACUAGCCACUUAUUUGAUAUCGUUUCCUGAAUCUUGUUGACAAAUAUGAAUUGUUAGGUAUUACAAAGAGAUCGACACUCGGUAUUGUUUAUUAUGUGGAAAAUUCAACUUUGCUAUCUGAGUAUUGGAUAUUAUGGUGGGAUGGCAUGCUGUCUCGUUCAAUGACCGUGUGGAGUAAUCAAAGAUUUAGUUGAUUUUUGUUUUCGGUUAAGAUGAUUGUAGAAGAGACAUUGUGUUUCUGAGAUUAUGAGAAUACAACGCAUCACUGCUUUUUUCUUUAGCCCACCUUGGAAAUUUAGCUAACUUAACCCCUUUUUUAUGCUUUUGUUGAGACAGACAAAGAACAGCACUAUAAUUCUUAAAGAGAGCCAGAACUAGGCAAAUCCUUGUUGUCUACAUGGAAGAUGCAAGUACAGUAUCUUUGACUGAUUUGUGCAACAUAAUGUGAAAGUAGAUUAUAACCAUGAUGAAUUGGCAAGGAAUCAAGAGGGAAAAUUUUGUUGGUUCUAAUUUCCCUUUCUUUUUAUUGUGCAAUAGGAAAUAAUGUGGUCGUUCCCAGUUGAAAUAAUGACAUGGGUACGUCUUUAAGCUUUCUCUGUCCGAAGACAAAUGAAUCCAGGAGAACAAGCCUGGAACGUUAUUUUGUGUAAAUUAUGGUAAGAGCUUUGACGAUGGAAGAUGGUAUCUAAGCUAGAAGUCUUUUUCUUGGCUUAAAUUCACAAUGACCACUUUGCUUUGACAUUUUGACCCAAGCCAUUCCGUUUUUCGUUCUUCCUUAGCCAUUAAUACCAUCUCCCCGUGGGGAAAAAAAUUCUACAAUGUUCAUUUCUAUCAGAGAAUCAUUUAUCAUGUCAUGUUUAUUGUGCCUUUAGUUUGUUUUGUGGAUUUAGUGACCAUAUACGCGUCACAUCCUAUCCUUCACUUUGUCAGUAGUUCCAGAAGGUACAUAACUCCUCCCUGAACUAAGAAUAAUUGAAUGACUCUGCUACAAGGAGAAAAACAAAGUGCAUCUUGCUGUCAUGCUGAGCCCCAAUACAAGAUUUAGAAGAGUGGUCUAGAGUGGCUCCAGUUAACUUAGUUUCAUUGCCCCACCUAGUGUGGACUCGCCAUGCCUCACAGGAGCAUUUGCAGGAGGAAUCUCUCCUCUUUCUAGAGGAAAAAAGGUGAAAGAAGUUGUUGGAGACCAGCCUGAGUUGCACUGGAGCUGCUGGAAGUAGCUGAGCCGGCUUAAGUUAGGAGUUGCAUACCAUCCACCACUUCUAAGCAACAGUCUGCUGUCAAAGAUUUUAGAUUUUGAUGGUAUCCGACCAUCCGCCUUCUCUCAGGAGCUUCGAAGUAGCUGGAAAGAAGGGAACGAGAUUGACAGAAAGGCUUUAAAGCAGGAAAAAGGUUUCGAAGAUGAGUACUUUUUGGUGGGAUUUUGGUUCCCAUUUUCUCACUUGUCGAUCCGUAUUUUGGCUCGAGCGGAGAGAACUCAAUGGUUGACAUUUCUGCUGCAAUUGCAUCCACCGGGCAAUGAAGGCUCUGUUCAAGAACCUUCUCCGAGGCACAUGUCUUUUGGUGGCCAAUCCUUCGGAAGUGACCUUCCUAAGCCUGUCAAUGGAUCCGAUCUAACAUGAUCUGACUUUAGAUUUAGAUCCAAUUUUCCAUAUUAAACAGGCAAUAACCACAGGGAGUUGUUCAACCUCCUGAAGACAUCAUGAGC